UACGUAGGGUGCGAGCGUUAAUCGGAAUUACUGGGCGUAAAGCGUGCGCAGGCGGCUCCUUAAGUCAGAUGUGAAAGCCCCGGGCUUAACCUGGGAACUGCGUUUGAAACUGGGGAGCUGGAGUGUAGAAGAGGGGGGUGGAAUUCCAGGUGUAGCAGUGAAAUGCGUAGAUAUCUGGAGGAACACCGAUGGCGAAGGCAGCCCCCUGGGCUAACACUGACGCUCAUGCACGAAAGCGUGGGGAGCAAACAGG
Molecule: ribosomal RNA, 253 nt
Filed under: uncultured bacterium
Lineage: Bacteria
Description: partial 16S ribosomal RNA
Rfam family: Bacterial small subunit ribosomal RNA
Source: RNAcentral